GAUGAACGCUGGCGGCGUGCCUAAUACAUGCAAGUCGAGCGCACGAACGAGGAGCUUGCUUCUCUGGUAUUAGCGGCGGACGGGUGAGUAACACGUGGGUAACCUACCUAUAAGACUGGGAUAACUUCUGGAAACCGUAGCUAAUACCGGAUAAUAGUUUGAACCGCAUGGUUCAAAAGUGAAAGACGCUCUUGCUGUACCUUAUAGAUGGCUCCGCGUUGCAUUAGCUAGUUGGUAGGUAAACGGCUUACAAAGGCAACGUAGCAUAGCCGACCUGAGAGGGGGACCGGCACCACGGGAACUGGGACCCGGUCCAGAUUCCUACGGGAGGCGGAAGUAGGGAUCCUUCGGAAAUGGGCGAAGGCCGGCCGGAGAAACGCGCCGGGAUGGAUGAAGGUCUCCGGAUCGAAAAACUUUGUUAUUAGGGAAGACCAUAUGUGUAAGUAACUGUUCACAUCUUGACGGUACCUAAUCAGAAAGCCACGGCUAACUACGUG
This 497-nucleotide ribosomal RNA is filed under the name uncultured bacterium. RNAcentral describes it as "partial 16S ribosomal RNA". It matches the Rfam family "Bacterial small subunit ribosomal RNA", at positions 28 to 507 of the family's 1533-position model. The record is from RNAcentral.